AAUAGUUCAGGGAAUUUCAAAAUGCAGAAGCUCAGUCUUUUGUUAUGCUGUCUCUACUUUCUAUAGUAAAAGGGGAGACAGCAUAACAAAAGACUGAGCUUCUGCAUUUUGGAAUUCCCUGGGGAAUUCC
Non-coding RNA from Podarcis lilfordi (Lilford's wall lizard), 130 nucleotides. The record is from the annotation of a GenBank genome assembly. NCBI's taxonomy places the organism in Eukaryota, Metazoa, Chordata, Lepidosauria, Squamata, Lacertidae.